This 731-nucleotide long non-coding RNA is filed under the name Dasypus novemcinctus (nine-banded armadillo). Its description in RNAcentral is "lncRNA (ENSDNOG00000051355.1)". The record is from RNAcentral. Lineage: Eukaryota; Metazoa; Chordata; Mammalia; Cingulata; Dasypodidae.
GGCCCAGGAUCCCUUGCGCUGGCUCUACCCGCGGGGCCGCUGAGGGCGGCGUGGGGAGGCCUGGGGCGUGCUGACGUUCCCCCCGCUGGGCCCGACCACAUGAAAGGCCCUUGCACUUGCCACCCGCCAGCUGCCUGGAGCUGGUUUCUGACUGCAGUGCCUUGGCAUCCAUGCCCCUCAAGACCCAGCCUUCGCUUUCCGUACAGGAGCUCACCAUUUCCCCUGCCAGAAAAAGAAACUAUUUGCAGUUAUCAAAAAGUACCAGAUCAAAGAAGGCUUAUCCUUAUGCAGGGAAGGAAGAAAGAGCCAGAGUGCUGUCUCGAGAUCUUCCUCUUUCACCAAGAACCAGCCAAAGCAGGAGGCAGCGGGGGUGCCCAGAAGAAGCAGCUUCAGUCCUGGAAGGAGAAGACCUGCUGGAAAAAGCAAAACCCAGCUGGCUCGGUCCUGGUUGAGCCCCUCCGGCCCACUCUUCCCAGGGGCCUGUGCCUCUGCCCACUAUCUUUGGGUCCAUCACCAACCUGCAUCUUAAAAGGGUCAUUAAACAAGACACAACUCACUUCCAAAUAAAAGAGCCUCAUUGAGAUAAACCUGUUAAUCCCCACCCCCAUCAAGGUAAACAACAUUAAAAAUGUCUUUCCUCCUCUCUUCUGUCUGCAGGGGUCAUGUUGGGGGCUUGUAGGGUUGAGAUUGAGAGCUUCCUUGAGGAACUACAGAGAAAAAAAGGCCAGGGC